UUGGCCUCGCCCGGCCCCUCGGCGUGAAACGGUUUGCUCCGGGAAAGCCGGCAACUAGUAGGAGCGUGCAGAGCUACCUGGACGGAAGGAGCGGGCAGGAAGGUCAGAAGUGAUGGUGCAGCCAUAAAGAUGGACAAUCUUCAAGCUAAAAAAAAAGUGAAAAGAAUGAGCCUAGAUUCUAAGCAUGACCAAGUGGAGCUUUGCAUUAACAGCCAGAUAGUCACAAUAUCUGCCACUUCCCUUCAAUAUUGAAGAGUCACGAAGCUAAAUGAGAGAAUAGUCUCCUGCGCUGAGGACAGUUAUGUUAAAAAUGAAAGAAGAGUGAAAGCCAUCAUCAAGCCUGGAGAACAAUAUAGACACCCACCUGCUGAAUGAAGUUAACUUCAACUUGACCCAUUCAGGGUUCUGAAAACUGACGAGGGGUACACCUUGCCUCUCACUCCUCAAGUUUAUUUUUCAAAUC
Long non-coding RNA from Nyctereutes procyonoides (raccoon dog), 463 nucleotides. RefSeq lists it as uncharacterized. The record is from RefSeq and is a predicted model, not a curated record. The transcript has 3 exons. Lineage: Eukaryota; Metazoa; Chordata; Mammalia; Carnivora; Canidae.